RNAcentral lists this unclassified non-coding RNA (234 nucleotides) under Hevea brasiliensis (rubber tree). Lineage: Eukaryota; Viridiplantae; Streptophyta; Magnoliopsida; Malpighiales; Euphorbiaceae. The record is from RNAcentral.
GAAGGAUCAGAUCUCAUACAUCGGCGCUGUAUUCCGACAGUCAAUCCCUCAUCCUUGAAAUUAGGAAGUCUGUGACUAUGAUGAAAGAUAUUGCGGUCCACUUGGAGAGAGAUGAGAGAACCCAAAUGGUAAAAGAUCUUGAAGAUGGUGUUGUUCAGUUGUUGGCAGCAUCUGAUGAGUGCAUGCAUCUAUCUGAGGCAAUUCAGUCUAUAGGUGAUACAUUAGAGCCUGGGC